GUGAGGUAACGGCUCACCAAGGCGAUGACGGGUAGCUGGUUUCAGCGGAUGGCCAGCCACACGGGGACUGAGACACGGCCCCGACUCCUACGGGAGGCAGCAGUGGGGAAUUUUGGACAAUGGGCGAAAGCCUGAUCCAGCGACGCCGCGUGCGGGAGGAAGCCCUUCGGGGUGUAAACCGCUGUCAGGGGGGAAGAACCCGGUUCGGGCGAAGAGUCCGGAUCGCUGACGGUACCCCCAGAGGAAGCGCCGGCUAACUCCGUGCCAGCAGCCGCGGUAAUACGGAGGGCGCGAGCGUUGUCCGGAAUUACUGGGCGUAAAGGGGGCGCAGGCGGCCCGGUCAGUCCUAUGUGAAAGCCCACGGCUCAACCGUGGAAUGCCAUGGGAUACUGCCGGGCUAGAGACGGGUAGAGGCGAGCGGAAUUCCCGGUGUAGCGGUGGAAUGCGUAGAUAUCGGGAAGAACACCAGUGGCGAAGGCGGCUCGCUGGGCCCGUUCUGACGCUCAGGCCCGAAAGCGUGGGGAGCAAACAGGAUUAGAUACCCUGGUAGUCCACGCCGUAAACGUUGGGCACUAGGUGCUGGGAGGUGUGACCCUUUCGGUGCCGCAGCUAACGCGUUAAGUG
Molecule: ribosomal RNA, 624 nt
Filed under: uncultured bacterium
Lineage: Bacteria
Description: bacterial SSU rRNA
Rfam family: Bacterial small subunit ribosomal RNA
Source: RNAcentral